AUGGCCUGCUACCCAUGCAAUCCCCUCCCCCACCUCCCGCCCGGCACCACCAUCAUUCCCCCUGGCCCCCUUCAUGCUCGUCACGGCUACGUGGUACUCGGCGGUGAACUUCCUAUGGUUUGUGAUGAGUGGGCUGUUACCACCCUCAUCCCUGAGAUUUCUGCAGAGGAUUUCGGCGCCAUUGCUCUCAUCACCAACUUCCUUGAAGGCCGGGGCUAGCGCAUCAACUACACAUCUCGCUGCGGUAUGGGUACGACUCUGUUUCAGUUUACUACUGCAUGCUCUAGAGACACAACUGUUGGCAGUAGUCCGUUUCAGAUUGGUAAUUCAGUUUUGAGGAUCAGUAGACAGGAUAGAGGUUUGAAUUAUCGUAGCAUCACAUUCACGCACGAUGCCUGGAUCAUGCUGAUGAACUACCCUCUGGAAUGUUGGGAUGUAGAUGUGAUUAGCCGCACUGUCUCCCCCUAUGGCAGAUUUCUGAUUUGGAACAAAGAUCCUAGGGAUAAAACCAGAGUUGUUAUCAAACUUAGAACUAUGAAUGUUGAUGCUAUUCCGAUCAGUAUUGUUGUGUUAAGGAAUAUUGAUGGUGUUGGAUAUGGUGAUUCCUGGACUUGCCCUACAUACAUUUUGUCGCGUGAACUUAUUGGGCAGCAGGGAGGGGAUGAGGACCCGCUCCCUCCUGAUGGUGGUAAUCCCCAUCCUCUGCCUCAUGUCCAUGGUGGAUUCUGG
This 729-nucleotide ribosomal RNA is filed under the name Triticum aestivum (bread wheat). RNAcentral describes it as "partial small subunit ribosomal RNA". The record is from RNAcentral. Lineage: Eukaryota; Viridiplantae; Streptophyta; Magnoliopsida; Poales; Poaceae.